RNAcentral lists this ribosomal RNA (254 nucleotides) under uncultured bacterium. RNAcentral describes it as "partial 16S ribosomal RNA". It matches the Rfam family "Bacterial small subunit ribosomal RNA", at positions 524 to 776 of the family's 1533-position model. The record is from RNAcentral.
UACGGGGGGAGCAAGCGUUGUUCGGAUUUACUGGGCGUAAAGGGCGCGUAGGCGGCCUCCGCAAGUCAGUUGUGAAAUCUCCGAGCUUAACUCGGAAAGGUCAACUGAUACUGCGGGGCUAGAGUGCGGAAGGGGCAACUGGAAUUCUUGGUGUAGCGGUGAAAUGCGUAGAUAUCGUCAAGAACACCUAUAGCGAAGGCAGCUUACUAGGCUGUAACUGACGCUGAGGCACGAAAGCGUGGGGAGCAAACAGG